CCGUGCCUCAGAAAGUCAUUAAGGAGUGCACCCGUAUUUACAGACCCGAUUAAAUUAUGCAUAAAUAAACUCUGUACACAUGACAUACUUUCUCCCAGUGCUC
Long non-coding RNA from Phyllostomus discolor (pale spear-nosed bat), 103 nucleotides. RefSeq lists it as uncharacterized. NCBI's taxonomy places the organism in Eukaryota, Metazoa, Chordata, Mammalia, Chiroptera, Phyllostomidae. The transcript has 3 exons. The record is from RefSeq and is a predicted model, not a curated record.